UACGUAGGCAGCAAGCGUUUGUUCGGAGUUACUGGGCGUAAAGAGCUCGUAGGCGGUCUGUCGCGUCGGAUGUGAAAGCCCGGGGCUUAACCCCGGGUCUGCAUUCGAUACGGGCAGACUAGAGUGUGGUAGGGGAGAUCGGAAUUCCUGGUGUAGCGGUGAAAUGCGCAGAUAUCAGGAGGAGCACCGGUGGCGAAGGCGGAUCUCUGGGCAGUAACUGACGCUGGAGGAGCGAAAGCGUGGGGAGCGAACAGG
Molecule: ribosomal RNA, 255 nt
Filed under: uncultured bacterium
Lineage: Bacteria
Description: partial 16S ribosomal RNA
Rfam family: Bacterial small subunit ribosomal RNA
Source: RNAcentral